AUUGAACGCUGGCGGCAGGCCUAACACAUGCAAGUCGAGCGGAUGAGAAGAGCUUGCUCUUCGAUUCAGCGGCGGACGGGUGAGUAAUGCCUAGGAAUCUGCCUGGUAGUGGGGGACAACGUUUCGAAAGGAACGCUAAUACCGCAUACGUCCUACGGGAGAAAGCAGGGGACCUUCGGGCCUUGCGCUAUCAGAUGAGCCUAGGUCGGAUUAGCUAGUUGGUGAGGUAAUGGCUCACCAAGGCUACGAUCCGUAACUGGUCUGAGAGGAUGAUCAGUCACACUGGAACUGAGACACGGUCCAGACUCCUACGGGAGGCAGCAGUGGGGAAUAUUGGACAAUGGGCGAAAGCCUGAUCCAGCCAUGCCGCGUGUGUGAAGAAGGUCUUCGGAUUGUAAAGCACUUUAAGUUGGGAGGAA
RNAcentral lists this ribosomal RNA (419 nucleotides) under Pseudomonas putida. RNAcentral's name for it is "bacterial SSU rRNA". It matches the Rfam family "Bacterial small subunit ribosomal RNA", at positions 30 to 449 of the family's 1533-position model. The record is from RNAcentral. Lineage: Bacteria; Pseudomonadati; Pseudomonadota; Gammaproteobacteria; Pseudomonadales; Pseudomonadaceae.